AGCAGCCGCGGUAAUUCCAGCUCCAAUAGCGUAUAUUAAAGUUGUUGCAGUUAAAAAGCUCGUAGUUGAAUUUCGGGAUUAGUACGUCGGUCGUGCCUUCGGUACGUACUGGUGUUACUGAUUCCUACCUUCUGACGAACCAUCAUGUCAUUAAUUUGGUGUGGCGGGGAAUCAGGACUGUUACUUUGAAAAAAUUAGAGUGUUUAAAGCAGGCUCGCGCUUGAAUACAUUAGCAUGGAAUAAUGAAAUAGGACGUUGACCCUAUUUUGUUGGUUUCUAGGAUUGACGUAAUGAUUAAUAGGGAUAGUUGGGGGCAUUAGUAUUCAAUUGUCAGAGGUGAAAUUCUUGGAUUUAUUGAAGACUAACUAUUGCGAAAGCAUUUGCCAAGGAUGUUUUCAUUAAUCAAGAACGAAAGUUAGGGGAUCGAAGACGAUCAGAUACCGUCGUAAUCUUAACCAUAAACUAUGCCGACUAGGAAUCGGGCGACGUUAUUUCAUGACUCGCUCGGCGCCUUAUG
Molecule: ribosomal RNA, 517 nt
Filed under: uncultured Glomeromycotina
Lineage: Eukaryota; Fungi; Glomeromycota
Description: SSU rRNA
Rfam family: Eukaryotic small subunit ribosomal RNA
Source: RNAcentral